This 405-nucleotide RNase P RNA is filed under the name Verrucomicrobiota bacterium. Its description in RNAcentral is "Verrucomicrobia bacterium RNase P RNA component class A". It matches the Rfam family "Bacterial RNase P class A". From Rfam's summary of the family: Ribonuclease P (RNase P) is a ubiquitous endoribonuclease, found in archaea, bacteria and eukarya as well as chloroplasts and mitochondria. Its best characterised activity is the generation of mature 5'-ends of tRNAs by cleaving the 5'-leader elements of precursor-tRNAs. Lineage: Bacteria; Pseudomonadati; Verrucomicrobiota. The record is from RNAcentral.
GGUUGAUGGCAGACGAUCGCUGGUGAGUCGAGAGGCUCGCCAGAGGAAAGUCCGAACACCAUACGGCAGCAUGCCGCGUAGAAAACGCGGGCGCGACGGUUGCAAAACUGCGGCGACGGAAAGUGUCACAGAAAAGAUACCGCCGGUUCUUUGAGAAAAGUGCAGGCAAGGGUGAAAAGGCGAGGUAAGAGCUCACCGCGUGCGAAGUAAUUCGCGCGGCAGGAAAAACCCCAUGCGGUGCAAGACAAAACAGGAGGAGGACAGCCGGUCCGUUGAUCUCCGGGUAUCGUCGCACCACGUUGCGCGCAAGCGUAGCGGGCGAUUCAUGGAAGUGAGUUGAGAUAAAUGAUCGUCCCGGCUGAGAAAUCAACCGGACAGAAUUCGGCUUACCGCCAUCAAAUUAUG